RNAcentral lists this long non-coding RNA (3821 nucleotides) under Marmota monax (woodchuck). Lineage: Eukaryota; Metazoa; Chordata; Mammalia; Rodentia; Sciuridae. The record is from RNAcentral.
GUGGAGACCUUUGGCAGCACAUGAUCUUGGGCACAUCACUUCCUUUUCCAGGCCUUGAUGCCUAGUCCUAGGGAUCUAGUUUUUUCCAGCUCUGAAGCCCUCAGAUUUGAUGUCUACCACUUUCUCCACCUUUGCCUAGCUUGCUGAUCCAGGCCAGGCUUUGGAGCAAGCAGCCUAGAUUUUCUUCAUUGUUUUCUGGAAGUGAAUAGCAGGAAUGAAGUCCCUUGGCUUCAGAGUGGGUGAGAGCCCUUUAGGUGCAUGGUGGCCUCUUCUUUGGGGCAUGAAAAUUCUAGAAGAGCAGGUUUUCCCAAUGACCAGGGUUUGGCAAACUAUGACCCAUGGAUUGGAUACCUAUUUUUGUAAAUAAAGUUUUAUUGGCACAUAGACAUGUUUAUUAUUUAUGAAUUGUUUUUGGCUGGUUUCAUGUGAUAGGGGCGUGGUUAAGUAGUUGCAACAGAGACCAUAUGACCCUACAGCCUAAAAUAUUAACUCUCUUGACCUUUAAGAUAUAAAAGAUAAAAGUUUGCCAAUCUCUGCCAUAGGUGAUGAGAAAAGUGUUUGGGUCUCUGUUGGGGGUACUUACUGUGAUCAUUUCAGAUCUCCAGAGUUCUUGAAGAUUCUGCAUUGGGCCUGCCUUUAAGAUCCCAUAGGAGGAUAAUCUAGUAGUCAAGAUGAUAGAUUAUUAGAGUUAGCCUUAAAAAUAGCAAUUCUGUAUCAGAGAAACUCCUCAUUUUUAGCCCUUUUCUUGGAGUCUGGAGCGUGCCCCACCCUGUCUUUGGGCCAGGAGGCCUGAGAGUUCCUGUGCAGGGCUGGGUUGUGGCCUUGGUUUGACAAGCUACUGUCCUUCCCUCUCUAAUUUCACAGGCCUGUGCAGAAGAGAUUGGACUGACCCAAACCCAGCUCAGGACAGGAGAAGGGAGGCUAAUGGUUCCUGCCAAGUCCUACAGCUAAGUCUCCUGAUAUCUCUGCUUUACCACUUCAGGCCUCAUUACCUGCUUUAGUUUCAGGCCCUGAAGAUGCUCCUGCAGAGAUGAUCUCCACCCCAGCCUGGUGUGUCUUCCUGAACCUGGCACUCAUCAACACUGUCAGACAGGCCCUGGGCUCGGAGUUGGGGUGUGUUUCUGUACUGGCUUGGGGCUGGGAUUAGCAUUUUUUUUUUUUUUUGCAGGCCAUUUUUAUGGAGUUCUUUUGUGUACUGGUUGCCAUCUUGUUGACCUGGGUCCUCAUACUGGAGUCUUGGUGAAAUUCUUGACUGGUAACAGGGCUCAUUUAAAGUUCUUGUUGCUGUAGAACAGCAACAACGCAGCAGUUGGGGCAGUUCUUCUCAAGGCUGUGAUAGGAAGUGAAAGACGCUGUGGCAAGAGGAAACCACAUGCACAGAGCAGUGGGGAGAAUGGGGAGGGGUGACUGAGGUUUAUUCCCAUUGCAGCUAGAAGGGAGAAGGGAGGAGGCUGGUAGUGGGAGGAGGGAGCAGAUGAUCCAGAAUAGGAAAGAAGGCAGAAGCCAAGCACACCGAAAGCUGCUUUUAGCUGGUAAUGGUAAGCCAGGCUCCAGAAACCUUCCUUUGUACCUCCCCGAUACAUUUCCCCAGAGGCUGGGUCUCUGGCUGCUCAUCAAAAAAAAAAAAAAGAAUCUCAUUAAAAAAUUCUCUUUUACUACCUUUCAUUUGUGGAGUUCAGGGUGACCUCCACAUUACGUGGGCUUAAACUAUUGUUGGGACCUAUGCAUUGACUUGGGAGAAUCAUUCACUUUAUCUGUUGGAUAUUCAUUAAGUUCUGUUAUGUGUCAGACACUGCGUGAAGUUCUGAGGACACAGGGGUGAAUAAAGGAUUCACAAUCUGGACUGGAAGGCUGAUGAACAGUUGAACCAAUUUUAAUUCCAUGUGCACUAGAUCAUAACGCUUCAGGAGAGCGUGUCUGUGUCUGUCUUGUUCAUUGCCGUCACCUUGGUGCCGGAUGAAGAGCUGGCAUGCUGGAGGCAUGCAGAUGUUUAAUUGGCUGACCCAUCCUUAUUUGGUUUGCUUUGGAAAUGUGCAGGAGGGAUCUGAGUAGGUAAGUGGAGGAAGAAAGGGACUCACACCAGUAAGAGUGACAAGUUUGGGGAGGGAUGGACAUACUGGGGUAUACUGCUAGUGUGACUGCCUUUAAGGAAAAGAGGAUAGGGAGGGAUUAAUGCCAAUGAGCAUGAGAAAAUUCAUUGCCAUCAAUCAGGGCCAUGAGAAAGGAGGAGUAUGACUUGGUACCCAGAGGUGGGUUAAAGGCAGCCAGUACUAUCAGAACAGAGGGCUGGGGAAAGAAGGAAGAACUCAUGGCAGGAAAGAGAGGAUUGGCAAGGGGGAGUAGAAAUCAGUGUGAGGAAACAGGAAACACAAGCAUCUCUGGGCCCAGAGUGAGGGCAGACAUGUAGCCUGUGAAUCCAGAUGAACAUGGUGGCAGGGAUGGAUAAGAGGCGGGAUUCCCAGCCAUGUUCUGCAGGUCUCUGUGGAAAUGACUGUGCCUGUGUAUGACCAGAUAUACCACUCGGUUAAUUUCUUACGGUGCAGCAAAUGCAAAUAUGUCAACUGUGAUUUGACGUUAUGGUUAUUCUUUUAUUAAAAACUUCUUACUGUGGAAAUUUUCACAGGCAUAUGAAGGUAAAGUGUUUUCAAUCUUUAUGUUCCCAUCACCCAGUUUUCAACACACAUUCAAUGCAUAGCCCAUCUCCUCUCAUUUAUUAUCCCUUUCCCCCCUUCAUGGAUUAUUUAGUAGCACUUCUCAGGCAUUGUAGCAUUUUAUCCAUAAAGACAUCAUUAUGUAUCUCUGGAUGAUAAUACCUUUAUCACACCUGGAGAAAGCACAGUCAUGCCUAAAUAUCACCUGUCAUCCAGUUGGUAUUUAAGUUUCCCCUGUUGUCUCUCUUUUUUUUUUUAAACUAUUGGUUUAAAUCAAGAUCCAAAUUAAGAUCCACACUUUUCGUUUAAUUGAUAAACCUUGAAAUCUCUUUUAAUAAAGAGUACAGCCAUUCUUAAUUUGUUUUGCAGUUUUUCAUUUCUACCUUUACCUAGUUGCCCACCACUAUCCCCAGUCAACUGCUGUCAACAGCUUGCCUGGGUUUCAUGGAAACAUUUUUAUGAUUUUGAACCUCCUCCAUUAUCCCUGUUGCUUUAUGGUUUCAUGUAACUAGUCAUUUAUUUCUUCCUUCAGUAAUGAUUUCUUGAGAGCUUGCUCUGUGCCAGGCACUGUACCAGACACUGUGCAUGCACCUGUGAAAAGACGGGCAGCAUCCUGCUCUCAUGAUGUUCACCAUCUAACCACGGAGAGCUGCCAUCAGUUUUCCCUGUGUGAGUUGUGUGACCGUGGCCAUCACUUCUGUGUUGACAGAUAUGCCCCAUUUUAGGGCUUGGUGUUCAUGUUCUUGUGCUGUCAUUUUAUGUGACUGAUGAGAGGUGCCCCCAAGAAACCAAGUGUUUCAUAGCCCUGCAACCUGCCUGCUAGCAGCGGUGCUCCCUUUACGUGUGUGUAUCCAUUUAACAUGUUUGGGCCUGAGUGUGUGUAGCUGAGAGUUAAAAUGGAGAGCUUACUUAACCGAUGGAUCAUAGAGAGGCUAAAUGAAAACCUUUAAAAGGUAUCCUGAAUUGGUAAAGGGCUUGGCAAGCACCAAGUGGUACUGAUGAUGUUUGCGCAAGUUCGAUGUUUCUCUGACUUUGUGGAGUGCAGCUUGAACUGGGGCUUUGCCUGCUUUAAUUAGGUUACCUGCGGGCCUUUCAGGUGACAGGCCCAUUUACUUGAUUUGCUGUUCUUUGCAGAGCUUACAGUAUUGUGUAUACAUACUUCUGCGGCAG